UAGAAUAGGGGAGCUUAACUUA
This 22-nucleotide microRNA is filed under the name Drosophila melanogaster (fruit fly). Its description in RNAcentral is "Dme-Mir-964-v2_5p (mature (guide))". The record is from RNAcentral. RNAcentral also lists the same sequence under 1 other name. Lineage: Eukaryota; Metazoa; Arthropoda; Insecta; Diptera; Drosophilidae.